AAUUAAGAAUACGAUUUGGCAUUUGGAGUGUUUGAGUAACUGCCCAAGCCAUGACGCUCCCGUUUCGCAAGGACUUGGACAAAUACAAAGAUCUCGAUGAGGAUGAAAUUCUCGGCAAACUUUCAGCUGAAGAAUUGAAACAACUGGAAACUGUUUUGGAUGAUCUUGACCCUGAGAAUGCACUUCUUCCUGCAGGCUUCCGACAGAAAGACCAGACUGCUAAAAAGGCUUCAGGCCCUUUUGACAGGGAGCGACUCCUUGCAUAUUUGGAGAAACAGGCUCUUGAGCACAAGGACAGGGAAGAUUAUGUGCCUUUUACAAGAGAAAAGAAAGGGAAAAUAUUUAUUCCAAAACAAAAGCCUGUACAGUCUUUCAAUGAAGAAAAAAUAUCUCUUGAUCCAGAAUUGGAGGAAGCCUUGACGAGUGCCACAGACACAGAAUUAUGUGACCUUGCAGCUAUACUGGGAAUGUCCAACUUAAUAACAAACAAUCAGUUCUGUGAUGUAGUAGGAAGCAGUAAUGGGAUUGACAAAGACAGCUUCUCAAAUAUAGUAAAAGGCGAAAAAAUGUUGCCUGUUUUUGAUGAACCACCAAAUCCCACGAAUGUGGAAGAGACUUUGCAAAGAAUUAAAGAUAAUGAUUCCCGCCUUGUUGAAGUUAAUCUAAAUAAUAUUAAGAACAUUCCAAUUCCAACGCUGAAAGAGUUUGCAAAAGCCCUAGAAACCAACACACAUGUGAAGACUUUCAGCCUUGCAGCCACCCGAAGUAAUGAUCCUGUUGCUGUUGCUCUUGCAGAUAUGUUGAAGGUAAACACAAAAUUAAAAAGUUUGAACAUAGAAUCGAAUUUCAUCACUGGAGUUGGGAUUUUGGCACUGGUUGAUGCACUGAAAGACAAUGAAACAUUAACAGAAAUAAAAAUUGAUAAUCAGAGGCAACAGUUGGGAACAAUUGCCGAAGUGGAAAUUGCCAAGAUGCUUGAGGAAAACACCAAGAUUCUUAAAUUUGGAUACCAGUUCACACAGCAGGGACCUCGGGCCAGGGCAGCUGCAGCUAUCACAAAAAAUAAUGAUUUGGUCUGGAGUAUGCAAGUAAAAAUUUCUGCAAAUGCUUUUUCAUCUCUCCAGCCCUGAAGCUACAGAGACAGGUUACUCUGAAUACCCAGUUGGGUAUUGAGCAUUGAAAACUGAGAUGUUUAAAAUCUCACAUCUCUGUACGUUUUCGCAAGAGAAGGGUCGAAGGAGACAACCAGUGAAUCUUGUUGCUGCCAGAACUGUGUUGAGACUUCAAGGGUCUUGAGACUUCAGUGAGGCACAGGCAAUCUCUGUGGGCUUUGGCAAUCUUGGACUUCAUUUACCUGGGUUAGAAGGGAAAAGACUGGAAACCCCAUUCCUCUUAAAGCAAAGCUGUAUUAAUCUGUGUGGUAUGCAUCACUUCUCUUUCAGAUUAAGACAUAUUAACUGCACAAGUCUCUGUAACAGUUUUU
Molecule: non-coding RNA, 1483 nt
Organism: Tinamus guttatus (white-throated tinamou)
Lineage: Eukaryota; Metazoa; Chordata; Aves; Tinamiformes; Tinamidae
Source: RefSeq, a predicted model, not a curated record